Molecule: long non-coding RNA, 578 nt
Filed under: Lathyrus oleraceus (garden pea)
Lineage: Eukaryota; Viridiplantae; Streptophyta; Magnoliopsida; Fabales; Fabaceae
Description: Pisum sativum (pea) long non-coding RNA (PSAT_LNC035439)
Source: RNAcentral
UCGAAAGGAGAAUGCAUAAACUGACUCACUACACUAACUGAGAAAGCAAUAUCAAGUCGGGUGUGUGACAAAUUAAUCAGUUUUCCAACCAAUAUCUGAUAUCUCCCAAUAUCAACAGAAACACUACCUUCUCUCCAAAAUUUAGCAUUAGGAUCCAUAGGGGUAUCUGCAGGACGACAUCCACUCAUUCCUGUUUCUUUCAACAAGUCUAUAAUGUAUUUCUGUUGUGAAACCACAAUACCAUUUUUUGACCGAGCAACCUCCAUAAGGUAUCUGCAGGACGACAUCCACUCAUUCCUGUUUCUUUCAACAAGUCUAUAAUGUAUUUCUGUUGUGAAACCACAAUACCAUUUUUUGACCGAGCAACCUCCAUACCUAGAAAAUAUCUCAUGAAUACUAAGUCCUAGAUUUCAAAGUCUACUUCCAAUUUCUCUUUUACUCUUACCAUUUCCACUGUAUCAUCUCCAGUAAGGACAAUAUCAUCAACAUAAGCAAUCAUGACAACAACUUUCCCAUCGUGGGAGAAUUUUGUGAACAAGGUGUGGUCAACCUGUCCUUGGAUGUACCCUUGUUUUUUG